UGUCUUUUUGAAAAUAAUUUAAAGUCUAAUCUGCCCACUGAUUUAAAUUGAAGGGCUGCAGUAUAUUGACUGUACAAAGGUAGCAUAAUCAGUAGUCAUUUAAUUGAUGACUUGUAUGAAUGAUUGGAUGAAAUAUAAACUGUCUUUAAAUUAUUUAUAAAAUUUAAUUUUUUUAUUAAAAAGUUAAAAUAAUUUAAAAAGACGAGAAGACCCUAUAGAGUUUUAUAAAUACAUUAAAUUAAAAUAAUAAUGUAAAAUAAAUUUAAAAUUUAAUUAUUUAUUUUAUUGGGGUGAUAAAAAAAUAUAAAAAACUUUUUUUAAUAAAAAACAUUAAUAAAUGAUUAAAUGAUCCAUUAAUAUUGAUUAUAAGAAAAAAUUACCUUAGGGAUAACAGCGUAAUUUUUUUUUUUAGUUCAAAUAAUAAAAAGAGUUUGCGACCUCGAUGUUGGAUUAAGAUAAAUUUUAAAUGUAGAAG
This 475-nucleotide ribosomal RNA is filed under the name Acrapex sp. ACTAG7112. RNAcentral's name for it is "partial 16S large subunit ribosomal RNA". Lineage: Eukaryota; Metazoa; Arthropoda; Insecta; Lepidoptera; Noctuidae. The record is from RNAcentral.